GUGAAAAGCAAAUGAGGUUUUUGAGUUUUUCCUAACACUUCUCACUGCAGGUUGGAAGCAGCACAAAGUGUUCCGAUCAAGGAGCAACAACAUGCUGGACCCCAGAGCCCCCCGACAGCCUGAGGGGGUGCCCAGUCCUCCUCCGUCUCCUUCACCAAGCCUGUGGCCCCUCGGCCACGACUGCAGCACGCUUCACAUCUCCCAGCUCCGGGCUCCUUUCAAAGGCCCUUUAUUAAACCACCAACUAUUUGCUGUCGAGACAUUUAGGAUGAAAUCAUUGUGUUAAAUAAAUAAACGUAGCUUCGUCCAGAUUUCUGCUCUGGGAGCAGAGUAAGAAAAUAAUUUCUGUCUGCUCGCCACAAAAGCGGCUGGAAAGGCCCAAAGAAAAAUAUUAUUUUUACUCCAUUGUGUGAAAUAUUGUCCUGGAGGAUCUGACGCACUGAGCGUUUGAAGAGUUUGUCCUGGCAGGUUUCAAGGGUCCCCUGGGCCGGCCCCCUGGGGUUGUUUUCUGCAUUAAUAAACUUAGCAUGGUGUGUGUUAAAA
Molecule: non-coding RNA, 543 nt
Organism: Leptonychotes weddellii (Weddell seal)
Lineage: Eukaryota; Metazoa; Chordata; Mammalia; Carnivora; Phocidae
Source: RefSeq, a predicted model, not a curated record